This 383-nucleotide ribosomal RNA is filed under the name uncultured eukaryote. RNAcentral's name for it is "partial 18S ribosomal RNA". It matches the Rfam family "Eukaryotic small subunit ribosomal RNA", at positions 592 to 976 of the family's 1831-position model. The record is from RNAcentral.
CAAUAGCGUAUAUUAAAGUUGUUGCAGUUAAAAAGCUCGUAGUUGGAUUUCUGGUGGGAGCGAUCGGUCUGGCGCUUAGCGCGAGUACUUGCAUCGUCUCCGGCCAUCCUUGGGGAGAGUCUGUCUGGCAUUAAGUUGUCGGGCAGAGGAUCCUCAUCGUUUACUGUGAAAAAAUUAGAGUGUUCAAAGCAGGCUUAUGCCGUUGAAUAUAUUAGCAUGGAAUAAUAAGAUAGGACUUUGGUACUAUUUUGUUGGUUUGCGCACCAAAGUAAUGAUUAAUAGGGACAGUUGGGGGUAUUCGUAUUCCGUUGUCAGAGGUGAGAUUCUUGGAUUUACGGAAGACGAACUACUGCGAAAGCAUUUACCAAGGAUGUUUUCAUUAA